This 145-nucleotide signal recognition particle RNA is filed under the name Nomascus leucogenys (northern white-cheeked gibbon). RNAcentral's name for it is "Metazoan signal recognition particle RNA". It matches the Rfam family "Metazoan signal recognition particle RNA". Rfam says of the family: The signal recognition particle (SRP) is a universally conserved ribonucleoprotein. It is involved in the co-translational targeting of proteins to membranes. Lineage: Eukaryota; Metazoa; Chordata; Mammalia; Primates; Hylobatidae. The record is from Rfam by way of RNAcentral.
GCCGGGCGUGGUGGCGCACGCCUGUAAUCCCAGCUACUUGGGAGGCUGAUGCGGGAGAACUGCUUGAACCCAGGGGGCGGGGGCUGCAGUGAGCCGAGAUGGUGCCACUGCACUCCAGCCUGGGUGACAGAGCAAGAUUCCGACU